This 253-nucleotide ribosomal RNA is filed under the name uncultured bacterium. Its description in RNAcentral is "partial 16S ribosomal RNA". It matches the Rfam family "Bacterial small subunit ribosomal RNA", at positions 524 to 776 of the family's 1533-position model. The record is from RNAcentral.
UACGGAGGGGGCUAGCGUUAAUCGGAAUUACUGGGCGUAAAGCGCGCGUAGGCGGCUUUGCAAGUCGGGUGUGAAAUCCCCAGGCUUAACCUGGGAACUGCAUUCGAGACUGCAUUGCUAGAGUAUGGGAGAGGGAAGUGGAAUUUCCGGUGUAGCGGUGAAAUGCGUAGAUAUCGGAAGGAACAUCAGUGGCGAAAGCGACUUCCUGGACCAAUACUGACGCUCAUGUGCGAAAGCGUGGGGGGCAAACAGG